GGGUUGUGAGGUUAAGCGACUAAGCGUACACGGUGGAUGCCCUGGCAGUCAGAGGCGAUGAAGGGCGUGCUAAUCUGCGAUAAGCGCCGGUAAGGUGAUAUGAACCGUUAUAACCGGCGAUACCCGAAUGGGGAAACCCAGUGUGACUCGUCACACUAUCAUUAACUGAAUCCAUAGGUUAAUGAGGCGAACCGGGGGAACUGAAACAUCUAAGUACCCCGAGGAAAAGAAAUCAACCGAGAUUCCCCCAGUAGCGGCGAGCGAACGGGGAGGAGCCCAGAGCCUGAAUCAGCAUGUGUGUUAGUGGAAGCGUCUGGAAAGGCGCGCGAUACAGGGUGACAGCCCCGUACACAAAAGCGCAUGUGCUGUGAGCUCGAUGAGUAGGGCGGGACACGUGGUAUCCUGUCUGAAUAUGGGGGGACCAUCCUCCAAGGCUAAAUACUCCUGACUGACCGAUAGUGAACCAGUACCGUGAGGGAAAGGCGAAAAGAACCCCGGCGAGGGGAGUGAAAAAGAACCUGAAACCGUGUACGUACAAGCAGUGGGAGCCCCACCACUAAGCCAGUGGUGAACUCCACAUCCGCAUCCUUUGCUGAGGAUACGGUUAACGGAGCGAAAGCGACGUUCAACCGCAAAACAAGCAGAGGGGGCUUAGUGGUGGGGUGACUGCGUACCUUUUGUAUAAUGGGUCAGCGACUUAUAUUCUGUAGCAAGGUUAACCGUAUAGGGGAGCCGGAGGGAAACCGAGUCUUAAUUGGGCGUUAAGUUGCAGGGUAUAGACCCGAAACCCGGUGAUCUAGCCAUGGGCAGGUUGAAGGUUGGGUAACACUAACUGGAGGACCGAACCGACUAAUGUUGAAAAAUUAGCGGAUGACCUGUGGCUGGGGGUGAAAGGCCAAUCAAACCGGGAGAUAGCUGGUUCUCCCCGAAAGCUAUUUAGGUAGCGCCUCGUGAAUUCAUCUCCGGGGGUAGAGCACUGUUUCGGCUAGGGGGCCAUCCCGGCUUACCAACCCGAUGCAAACUGCGAAUACCGGAGAAUGUUAUCACGGGAGACACACGGCGGGUGCUAACGUCCGUCGUGAAGAGGGAAACAACCCAGACCGCCAGCUAAGGUCCCAAAGUCAUGGUUAAGUGGGAAACGAUGUGGGAAGGCCCAGACAGCCAGGAUGUUGGCUUAGAAGCAGCCAUCAUUUAAAGAAAGCGUAAUAGCUCACUGGUCGAGUCGGCCUGCGCGGAAGAUGUAACGGGGCUAAACCAUGCACCGAAGCUGCGGCAGCGAACGUAUCACCCAAGACAACUUUACGGAGUUGACGAUUGACGGAGCGAAGCGACGUCAAAGCGUUCAUUAAAGUCGAGUUGGCUUAGGGAUACGUUCGUUGGGUAGGGGAGCGUUCUGUAAGCCUGUGAAGGUGUGUCGUGAGGCAUGCUGGAGGUAUCAGAAGUGCGAAUGCUGACAUAAGUAACGAUAAAGCGGGUGAAAAGCCCGCUCGCCGGAAGACCAAGGGUUCCUGUCCAACGUUAAUCGGGGCAGGGUGAGUCGACCCCUAAGGCGAGGCCGAAAGGCGUAGUCGAUGGGAAACGGGUUAAUAUUCCCGUACUUGGUGUUACUGCGAAGGGGGGACGGAGAAGGCUAUGUUGGCCGGGCGACGGUUGUCCCGGUUUAAGCGUGUAGGUGUGUGUUCCAGGUAAAUCCGGUUCACUUUAACACUGAGGCGUGACGACGAGGCACUACGGUGCUGAAGCAACAAAUGCCCUGCUUCCAGGAAAAGCCUCUAAGCAUCAGGUAACACGAAAUCGUACCCCAAACCGACACAGGUGGUCAGGUAGAGAAUACCAAGGCGCUUGAGAGAACUCGGGUGAAGGAACUAGGCAAAAUGGUGCCGUAACUUCGGGAGAAGGCACGCUGACACGUAGGUGAAGUGAUUUACUCAUGGAGCUGAAGUCAGUCGAAGAUACCAGCUGGCUGCAACUGUUUAUUAAAAACACAGCACUGUGCAAACACGAAAGUGGACGUAUACGGUGUGACGCCUGCCCGGUGCCGGAAGGUUAAUUGAUGGGGUCAGCGCAAGCGAAGCUCCUGAUCGAAGCCCCGGUAAACGGCGGCCGUAACUAUAACGGUCCUAAGGUAGCGAAAUUCCUUGUCGGGUAAGUUCCGACCUGCACGAAUGGCGUAAUGAUGGCCAGGCUGUCUCCACCCGAGACUCAGUGAAAUUGAACUCGCUGUGAAGAUGCAGUGUACCCGCGGCAAGACGGAAAGACCCCGUGAACCUUUACUAUAGCUUGACACUGAACAUUGAGCCUUGAUGUGUAGGAUAGGUGGGAGGCUUUGAAGUGUGGACGCCAGUCUGCAUGGAGCCGACCUUGAAAUACCACCCUUUAAUGUUUGAUGUUCUAACGUGGACCCGUAAUCCGGGUUGCGGACAGUGUCUGGUGGGUAGUUUGACUGGGGCGGUCUCCUCCUAAAGAGUAACGGAGGAGCACGAAGGUUGGCUAAUCCUGGUCGGACAUCAGGAGGUUAGUGCAAUGGCAUAAGCCAGCUUGACUGCGAGCGUGACGGCGCGAGCAGGUGCGAAAGCAGGUCAUAGUGAUCCGGUGGUUCUGAAUGGAAGGGCCAUCGCUCAACGGAUAAAAGGUACUCCGGGGAUAACAGGCUGAUACCGCCCAAGAGUUCAUAUCGACGGCGGUGUUUGGCACCUCGAUGUCGGCUCAUCACAUCCUGGGGCUGAAGUAGGUCCCAAGGGUAUGGCUGUUCGCCAUUUAAAGUGGUACGCGAGCUGGGUUUAGAACGUCGUGAGACAGUUCGGUCCCUAUCUGCCGUGGGCGCUGGAGAACUGAGGGGGGCUGCUCCUAGUACGAGAGGACCGGAGUGGACGCAUCACUGGUGUUCGGGUUGUCAUGCCAAUGGCACUGCCCGGUAGCUAAAUGCGGAAGAGAUAAGUGCUGAAAGCAUCUAAGCACGAAACUUGCCCCGAGAUGAGUUCUCCCUGAGACUUAGAGUCUCCUGAAGGAACGUUGAAGACGACGACGUUGAUAGGCCGGGUGUGUAAGCGCAGCGAUGCGUUGAGCUAACCGGUACUAAUGAACCGUGAGGCUUAACCUUACAACGCCGAAG
This 3112-nucleotide ribosomal RNA is filed under the name Salmonella enterica subsp. enterica. RNAcentral describes it as "bacterial LSU rRNA". It matches the Rfam family "Bacterial large subunit ribosomal RNA". Lineage: Bacteria; Pseudomonadati; Pseudomonadota; Gammaproteobacteria; Enterobacterales; Enterobacteriaceae. The record is from RNAcentral. RNAcentral also lists the same sequence under 2 other names.